ACUCCUACGGGAGGCAGCAGUGGGGAAUAUUGCACAAUGGGCGCAAGCCUGAUGCAGCAACGCCGUGUGAGUGAAGAAGGUUUUCGGAUCGUAAAACUCUGUCCUAAGGGAAGAAAAAAUAGACGGUACCUUAGGAGGAAGCCCGGCUAACUACGUGCCAGCAGCCGCGGUAAUACGUAGGGGGCGAAGCGUUAUCCGGAAUCACUGGGGCGUAAAGGGUGCGUAGGCGGCUUAGCAAGCCAGGGGUGAAAGGCAUUGGCUCAACCAAUGUAAGCCUUUGGAACUGUUAAGCUUGAGUGCAGGAGAGGUAAGUGGAAUUCCUAGUGUAGAGGUGAAAUUCGUAGAUAUUAGGAGGAACACCAGUGGCGAAGGCGACUUACUGGACUGUAACUGACGCUGAUGCACGAAAGCGUGGGUAGCGAACAGGAUUAGAUACCCUGGUAGGUCAGUC
Molecule: ribosomal RNA, 451 nt
Filed under: uncultured bacterium
Lineage: Bacteria
Description: bacterial SSU rRNA
Rfam family: Bacterial small subunit ribosomal RNA
Source: RNAcentral